ACAAUGUGCCAGAUCGCAUCGGAUCUCAUCAGACCUCGGAAGCUAAGCAGGCUGGAACCUGGAUAGUGCUUGGAUGGGUGACCACCGUGCAUUACACAGGUUGUU
Molecule: ribosomal RNA, 105 nt
Filed under: Petromyzon marinus (sea lamprey)
Lineage: Eukaryota; Metazoa; Chordata; Hyperoartia; Petromyzontiformes; Petromyzontidae
Source: RNAcentral